Molecule: long non-coding RNA, 645 nt
Organism: Amphimedon queenslandica
Lineage: Eukaryota; Metazoa; Porifera; Demospongiae; Haplosclerida; Niphatidae
Exons: 7
Source: RefSeq, a predicted model, not a curated record
AACGGUCCAGCAUCGACGACCAUCACUGCUGAAUCGAGGCUGUUGCUCUGGCCUGGACCAGUAUCUAUUUCAGUCCCGAUGUAGUCAUAGCUGAUACAGUAAUGUCUGUUCGUCAGCACUGGUCCAGGCUGUAUAUCAGUACUGGAUCAGAUCGAUGCUUUUCAAGAUGGCAGCCCCGCGUGGACUAUCUCAGUGACAUGUUUUGUUAAAGCAAAUCAUCUUAAUCUGACUAUUUAAGAGGAAUCUUGUUGGCUGUAUACACUAGGGCUAAAUCACUGGAUGUUAUGCUAUUUUGAACCAUUUUAUUACAUAAACAUGAGUAGGAUACACGAUAUUUUGAGUAAAAAUAUUGAGCCAAGCAUUGAAACAGAGCCAGAAGACCUUUCUGCAAUAAUCAUGACACUAGUGAAGACAAUGAGAAAUUAGGCGGUGAAUGUAUUAGUGAUCAUGAUGAUGUAGAUAUUGUACUGAGAGACUUAUGAAUGAUAGUCACAAGUGUGAAUUUUUGAUGCGGAAGAUUAUUCUGGAAAUAUUAGUAUAGCCACUAGUAUACAUUCUAUAGUUACCUUAUCUCACUAAGUUUCAAGACAAGAAUAUCUUAGGUUGUGAUGAACUGAAACUUUCUUGUUUAAAGCUCUUGUUAAG